RNAcentral lists this ribosomal RNA (316 nucleotides) under uncultured bacterium. RNAcentral's name for it is "bacterial SSU rRNA". It matches the Rfam family "Bacterial small subunit ribosomal RNA", at positions 30 to 334 of the family's 1533-position model. The record is from RNAcentral.
AUUGAACGCUGGCGAUAGGCUUAACACAUGCAAGUCGAGGGGCAGCAUAUUCGAAGCUUGCUUUGAAUGAUGGCGACCGGCGCACGGGUGCGUAACGCGUAUGUAACCUGCCUGUCAGAAGGGAAUAACCCGGUGAAAGUCGGACUAAUACCCUAUAUGCUCACGAGAGGCUCCUGCCUUGGCGAGGAAAGAUUUAUCACUGACAGAUGGACAUGCGUCCCAUUAGCUGGUUGGUGGGGUAACGGCCUACCAAGGCAACGAUGGGUGGGGGAACUGAGAGGUUUAUCCCCCACAUUGGUACUGAGACACGGACCAA